AUUCACAAAAUCCUAACUUACUAAGCCAGAGGCUGAGUGCCCUGUUUCAGGUUGUAAGGGGCAGCUGCACUCUUUCAAGGCAGUGCCCCUUGGCAGCCUGUGAAGUAGGGUGCAGGCUUCCAGGAGAUGGUGUAUGCCCAGUAACGGGAAGUGGGAAGUUGAGUCUGCCCAGCUUCCACUUGCUACCCAGUGCUGUUCUCCUGCCCUGCUUCUCAGUCACCACGAACUAAGAAGUUUUGUUCUAUCAUACUCUUCUACCAUGCCAUUUCUGCCUUGAAGCAAAUCAACCAUGAAUUCCACCCUCUGAAACCAUGACACAGAUAAACCUCUCAUCCUUUAAGCGGUGGGUAUAAGAUAUUUGUCUCAGCUAUAAGAAAGCUGACUAAUGCAGAACAUUGGUACCAGAGAAGUGAAAGUCAUUGCUAUAAAUGUACUUGAUCAUAUGGUUCAGAAGCCUUUGGAACUGGUUUGUGGGAAGAGUCUUGAAAAAGCCUGGAGAAAGCCUACAAUAUUACAAGCAGAUCUUGAUGAAUGACUCUUGCUAGAGCUCAAAGAUAAGAAUGUUGGUAAUAACAUGGACAGUAUGAGAUUUCAGUUGGGAACUCUAUUGGGAAUUAGGCUAAAGGUCAUGCAUGUUAUACUCUACCACAAGUUCUCUAAUUUUGUUCAUACUCUAAGACUAAAUUUUAGGCCCAUGAGCCAAGAGAAAAAAUCAAGGCAGCCCAAUAUUCAGGCAGUGGUAUGUGUACUUCUGGUUUUUUAAUCCAGAUUUGUAGUGAGAAUCAGGAGCAAAAAACAGAUCAGAAAGUUUUGAAAAGCAUAAGUUUUGACCAGAAAAUUAGCAUAUGUAAAGUUAGCAUCAAGGAGAGUAUGGUUCCUAAAAAAAUUAAUGCUUUUUAAAAGACACCAAAUACUGUGAACUAGGACAAGAAGAAAGAUGUUUUGAGGGCACCUCAGGAACUGGCAAGACUGCAUCCAUCAUAGACUCUAAGGUACAAAAGUGUAGAUCUUUCAUUUGAAGAAAGAGACCCUGGGACCCUUUUCAAGAAGGUCCAUUUAGGAAAUUGGUUUCCCUGGAUUCAUUUCACUGUGUUCAGCCAUCCAGGCCCUCAGAGGCCACUUUAUUGCUCACAUUGGUGGCAGAUCUUGGCACUAUCCACAUAAUGCUGAUUUUUUUGGUAUACAGAAUGCUAUGGAAACAUUAAGGCUUCCACUCAGAUUUUAAAGAAAGGCCUUGAACACCAGGCAAAAAUGUGUGACAGUGUCAGUGUCCCUGCCAGAAGCUACUGAGAGCACAAUGGGUGUAGCUGUAGGAAUGAAGCCAAAGGUAUAAUGGAGACCCCAGGAAACUAGGGAUUUUAGGAGCAAGGAAAGCUGUGGCAACGAGUACAGCCAGCCCAGGAUAGAGGUCAUGUGAGCUGAAACUGGCAAAACCAUAGGGAUGGUGUUGCCCAAACCCUUUGGCACUCACAUUUCACCACCAUGUUCCCUGGAUUCCAGACGUGUAGCUAUAAGAUCUAACACUUGCCUUGCUGGUUUUCAGUCUUGCUUUGGUCCUAUUCUUCUUUAUUUCCUCCCCUUAUUCAUUUCUCUUUUUGAGAUGAGAGUGUUUACCCUGUACAGUUUUAUAUUGAGAAUAUGUAACUUGCUUUUUGAAUUUUCAGACGUUUGUAGCCAAGGGCUUACUUUGAGUCUCAGGGGAUAUUUUGAACUUAAAUUUAUGAAUAAUGCUGGAAUUGGUGAAACUUUAGGGUGGACAUUGAAGGACCCUAGUUAGUAAGACAGACUCCAUAUUGCUGCUUGACCCACCUGCCUGCCCUUUACAUGAACUCAGAAGGAGGAAGCUUAGAAACCUCCUCCCCUUAGAGUUUCUUAGAAGCAACAAUUAAUCAACUAUUGUUUUACAAAUGUUCUAAGGACAGGGUGUUCAGCUUCUGUACCUUUUGCUUGCUUUGCUAGUUCUAUCCCAUAGGGGGCCCCAGAAACUGCUGGCCUCAAAGAUGCAUAAAAUAUGUUAAUCUCCCCCAGUCAGGGCUUGAGUCUGAUGCUUGGCUCAGGUCCCAGCCAGUAAUAAACUGCUGUGUGGAUUUAAUAUCAGUCUCUGGUUGGUUCUUUCUCACUGGGUCCAACAGACAUUAUUGCAUUUUUGGUUGUAUGUGGGAUACUUACAUCAUGUUAAGUAGAUUCAUGACUUUGUGUUUAUUUGGAGAUUAAGUGUGACUUAAGAAAAUAUGUUUGGGUGUCAGGAAGGGGUGGAAUAUGAUGGUCACCAUGAACUAAGCACCUUUGCUCUGCUAUGCCCUUCCACCACAAUGUUCCUGUCUUGGGGACAGCUGGCCAUAUAUUGAACCCUUUGAAAACAAGAGCCAAUUAAACCUCUCAUCCUUUAUGUUGUAACUGUUGGGUAUUUUGUGCCAGAGAUGGUAAAGCUGAACAAUAUAGGCUAUAUAUUUAACUUUAUAAGAACAUCUAAACAAAUAUUCCAGUUGGUUAGUUGCUCUUUGUGUCUACCAGCAGCUAUUUAAUAAGCCUGAAUUAAGUUAUUUUAAAAAUGCC
RNAcentral lists this long non-coding RNA (2556 nucleotides) under Heterocephalus glaber (naked mole-rat). Its description in RNAcentral is "lncRNA (ENSHGLG00000050161.1)". Lineage: Eukaryota; Metazoa; Chordata; Mammalia; Rodentia; Bathyergidae. The record is from RNAcentral.